RNAcentral lists this ribosomal RNA (637 nucleotides) under Bacillus sp. (in: firmicutes). RNAcentral's name for it is "bacterial SSU rRNA". It matches the Rfam family "Bacterial small subunit ribosomal RNA", at positions 42 to 662 of the family's 1533-position model. The record is from RNAcentral. Lineage: Bacteria; Bacillati; Bacillota; Bacilli; Caryophanales; Bacillaceae.
GCGUGCCUAUACAUGCAAGUCGAGCGGACCGACGGGAGCUUGCUCCCUUAGGUCAGCGGCGGACGCGUGAGUAACACGUGGGUAACCUGCCUGUAAGACUGGGAUAACUCCGGGAAACCGGGGCUAAUACCGGAUGCUUGAUUGAACCGCAUGGUUCAAUCAUAAAAGGCGGCUUCGGCUGCCGUUUACAGAUGGACCCGCGGCGCAUUAGCUAGUUGGUGAGGUAACGGCUCACCAAGGCGACGAUGCGUAGCCGACCUGAGAGGGUGAUCGGCCACACUGGGACUGAGACACGGCCCAGACUCCUACGGGAGGCAGCAGUAGGGAAUCUUCCGCAAUGGACGAAAGUCUGACGGAGCAACGCCGCGUGAGUGAUGAAGGUUUUCGGAUCGUAAAGCUCUGUUGUUAGGGAAGAACAAGUACCGUUCGAAUAGGGCGGUACCUUGACGGUACCUAACCAGAAAGCCACGGCUAACUACGUGCCAGCAGCCGCGGUAAUACGUAGGUGGCAAGCGUUGUCCGGAAUUAUUGGGCGUAAAGCGCGCGCAGGCGGUUUCUUAAGUCUGAUGUGAAAGCCCCCGGCUCAACCGGGGAGGGUCAUUGGAAACUGGGGAACUUGAGUGCAGAAGAGGAGAGU